CCUANGGGUGGCAGCAGUGGGGAAUUUUGGACAAUGGGGGAAACCCUGAUCCAGCCAUUCCGCGUGAGUGAAGAAGGCCUUCGGGUCGUAAAGCACUUUUAGCAGGGAUGAGGAAGGACAGUACCUGCUGAAUAAGCCUCGGCUAACUACGUGCCAGCAGCCGCGGUAAAACGUAGGAGGCGAGCGUUAUCCGGAUUUACUGGGUGUAAAGCGUGUGCAGGCGGUACAGCAAGUUGGAUGUGAAAGCUCCUGGCUUAACUGGGAGAGGUCGUUCAAAACUGCUGAACUUGAGUGUGGGAGAGGGAGGUGGAAUUCCGGGUGUAGUGGUGAAAUGCGUAGAUAUCCGGAGGAACACCAGUGGCGAAAGCGGCCUCCUGGCCCAUUUACUGACGCUCAGACACGAAAGCUAGGGGAGCGAACGGGAUUAGAUACCCGGNUANUC
RNAcentral lists this ribosomal RNA (442 nucleotides) under uncultured bacterium. RNAcentral describes it as "bacterial SSU rRNA". It matches the Rfam family "Bacterial small subunit ribosomal RNA", at positions 338 to 795 of the family's 1533-position model. The record is from RNAcentral.